GCUAGUGUAGCUUAACCCUAAAGCAUAACACUGAAGAUGUUAAGAUGGGUAUUAGAACACCCCACAAGC
This 69-nucleotide transfer RNA is filed under the name Chagunius chagunio. RNAcentral's name for it is "tRNA-Phe". It matches the Rfam family "tRNA". From Rfam's summary of the family: Transfer RNA (tRNA) molecules are approximately 80 nucleotides in length. Their secondary structure includes four short double-helical elements and three loops (D, anti-codon, and T loops). Lineage: Eukaryota; Metazoa; Chordata; Actinopteri; Cypriniformes; Cyprinidae. The record is from RNAcentral.